UACAGAGGUCCCAAGCGUUGUCCGGAUUCAUUGGGCGUAAAGGGUGCGUAGGCGGCGCGGUAAGUCGGGUGUGAAAUCUCGGGGCUUAACUCCGAAACUGCAUUCGAUACUGCCGUGCUUGAGGACUGGAGAGGAGACUGGAAUUUACGGUGUAGCGGUGAAAUGCGUAGAUAUCGUAAGGAAGACCGGUGGCGAAGGCGGGUCUCUGGACAGUUCCUGACGCUGAGGCACGAAGGCCAGGGGAGCAAACGGG
Molecule: ribosomal RNA, 253 nt
Filed under: uncultured bacterium
Lineage: Bacteria
Description: partial 16S ribosomal RNA
Rfam family: Bacterial small subunit ribosomal RNA
Source: RNAcentral